Molecule: non-coding RNA, 24 nt
Filed under: Cricetulus griseus (Chinese hamster)
Lineage: Eukaryota; Metazoa; Chordata; Mammalia; Rodentia; Cricetidae
Source: RNAcentral
AAUCGAAGACUCAGUGACUGUAAG